UUCGCAAUGCCCGAAAGGGUGACGAUGCGACGCCGCGUGAGCGAAGAAGGCCCUAGGGUUGUAAAGCUCUGUCGAGGGUUAUGAAAUAUAGAUGGGUUAAUACCCCAUUUAUUUGACAAAAGCCCAAAAGGAAGCCACGGCUAACUCUGUGCCAGCAGCCGCGGUAAUACAGAGGUGGCGAGCGUUGUUCGGUAUUAUUGGGCGUAAAGAGCACGUAGGUGGUUUUGUAAGUCAGGUGUGAAAGCCUUCUGUUCAAAGGAAGAACGGCAUCUGAAACUGCAGAUCUUGAGUGUAGGAGGGGAGAGUGGAACUUCUGGUGGAGCGGUGAAAUGCGUAGAUAUCAGAAGGAACGUCGGCGGCGAAAGCGACUCUCUGGCCUAUUACUGACACUGAGGUGCGAAAGCUAGGGGAGCAAACGGGAUUAGAUACCCCGGUAGUCCUAGCCGUAAACGAUGGGCACUAAGUAGAGGGGUUUU
RNAcentral lists this ribosomal RNA (476 nucleotides) under uncultured anaerobic ammonium-oxidizing bacterium. Its description in RNAcentral is "bacterial SSU rRNA". It matches the Rfam family "Bacterial small subunit ribosomal RNA", at positions 365 to 832 of the family's 1533-position model. The record is from RNAcentral.